AACGAACGCUGGCGGCAUGGCUAACACAUGCAAGUCGAACGAGACCUUCGGGUCUAGUGGCGCACGGGUGCGUAACGCGUGGGAACCUGCCCUUAGGUUCGGAAUAACUCCCCGAAAGGGGUGCUAAUACCGGAUAAUGUCUUCGGACCAAAGAUUUAUCGCCUUUGGAUGGGCCCGCGUUGGAUUAGCUAGUUGGUAGGGUAAAAGCCUACCAAGGCGACGAUCCAUAGCUGGUCUGAGAGGAUGAUCAGCCACACUGGGACUGAGACACGGCCCAGACUCCUACGGGAGGCAGCAGUGGGGAAUAUUGGACAAUGGGCGAAAGCCUGAUCCAGCAAUGCCGCGUGAGUGAUGAAGGCCUUAGGGUUGUAAAGCUCUUUUACCCGGGAUGAUAAUGACAGUACCGGGAGAAUAAGCUCCGGCUAACUCCGUG
This 433-nucleotide ribosomal RNA is filed under the name uncultured bacterium. RNAcentral describes it as "partial 16S ribosomal RNA". It matches the Rfam family "Bacterial small subunit ribosomal RNA", at positions 29 to 507 of the family's 1533-position model. The record is from RNAcentral.